ACGGGUGAGUAAUACAUCGGAACGUAUCCUGGAGUGGGGGAUAGCCCGGCGAAAGCCGGAUUAAUACCGCAUACGCUCUGAGGAGGAAAGCGGGGGACCUUCGGGCCUCGCGCUCAAGGGGCGGCCGAUGGCGGAUUAGGUAGUUGGUGGGGUAAAGGCCUACCAAGCCGACGAUCCGUAGCUGGUCUGAGAGGACGACCAGCCACACUGGGACUGAGACACGGCCCAGACUCCUACGGGAGGCAGCAGUGGGGAAUUUUGGACAAUGGGGGCAACCCUGAUCCAGCAAUGCCGCGUGUGUGAAGAAGGCCUUCGGGUUGUAAAGCACUUUUGUCCGGAAAGAAAUCAUCGGGGCCAAUACCCCUGGUGGAUGACGGUACCGGAAGAAUAAGCACCGGCUAACUACGUGCCAGCAGCCGCGGUAAUACGUAGGGUGCGAGCGUUAAUCGGAAUUGCUGGGCGUAAAGCGUGCGCAGGCGGUGCUGUAAGACCGAUGUGAAAUCCCCGGGCUUAACCUGGGAACUGCAUUGGUGACUGCAGCGCUGGAGUAUGGCAGAGGGGGGGUGGAAUUCCACGU
RNAcentral lists this ribosomal RNA (577 nucleotides) under uncultured bacterium. RNAcentral describes it as "bacterial SSU rRNA". It matches the Rfam family "Bacterial small subunit ribosomal RNA", at positions 102 to 674 of the family's 1533-position model. The record is from RNAcentral.